This 471-nucleotide ribosomal RNA is filed under the name uncultured bacterium. Its description in RNAcentral is "bacterial SSU rRNA". It matches the Rfam family "Bacterial small subunit ribosomal RNA", at positions 355 to 825 of the family's 1533-position model. The record is from RNAcentral.
UGGGGAAUAUUGGACAAUGGGGGCAACCCUGAUCCAGCCAUGCCGCGUGAGUGAAGAAGGCCUUCGGGUUGUAAAGCUCUUUCGGACGGGACGAAAUGGUUAGCGUGAAUAACGCUGACUGAUGACGGUACCGUAAUAAGAAGCACCGGCUAACUACGUGCCAGCAGCCGCGGUAAUACGUAGGGUGCGAGCGUUAAUCGGAAUUACUGGGCGUAAAGCGCACGUAGGCUGAUUGUUAAGUCAGGGUGAAAUCCCAGAGCUCAACUCUGGAACUGCCCUUGAUACUGGCAAUCUCGAGUCCGGAAGAGGUUAGUGGAAUUCCCAGUGUAGAGGUGAAAUUCGUAGAUAUUGGGAAGAACACCAGUGGCGAAGGCGGCUAACUGGUCCGGUACUGACGCUGAGGUGCGAAAGCGUGGGGAGCAAACAGGAUUAGAUACCCCUGUAGUCCCUGAGCGGGCUGGCAAGGCGCAU